UUGACCUCAAAUCAGGUAGGACUACCCGCUGAACUUAAGCAUAUCAAUAAGCGGAGGAAAAGAAACUAACAAGGAUUCCCUUAGUAACUGCGAGUGAAGAGGGAAAAGCUCAAAUUUAAAAUCUGGCAGCAUUUUGUUGUCCGAGUUGUAACCUAGAGAAGUGUAACCUGUGCUGGACCGUGUAUAAGUUUCCUGGAAUGGAGCAUCACAGAGGGUGAGAAUCCCGUCUUUGACAUGGACUACCAGUGCAUUGUGGUUGUGCUCUCAACGAGUCGAGUUGUUUGGGAAUGCAGCUCUAAAUGGGUGGUAAAUUCCAUCUAAAGCUAAAUAUUGGCGAGAGACCGAUAGCGAACAAGUACCGUGAGGGAAAGAUGAAAAGAACUUUGGAAAGAGAGUUAAACAGUAUGUGAAAUUGUUGAAAGGGAAACGUUUGAAGUCAGUCGCGUUAGCUGGGGAUCAGCCUGACAUUGUUGGGUGCACUUCCUGGUUGACGGGCCAACAUCAGUUUUGACUGCCAGAAAAAGGCCAAGGGAAUGUGGCACCUUUGGGUGUGUUAUAGCCUUUGGUCAUAUAUGGUGGUUGGGACUGAGGAAUGCAGUGUGCCGAAAGGCCGGGUUUCGACCACGUUCACACUGAGGAUGUGCCAUAAUG
RNAcentral lists this ribosomal RNA (651 nucleotides) under Amanita pilosella. RNAcentral describes it as "eukaryotic LSU rRNA". It matches the Rfam family "Eukaryotic large subunit ribosomal RNA", at positions 1 to 636 of the family's 3401-position model. Lineage: Eukaryota; Fungi; Basidiomycota; Agaricomycetes; Agaricales; Amanitaceae. The record is from RNAcentral.